RNAcentral lists this long non-coding RNA (590 nucleotides) under Zostera marina. RNAcentral describes it as "long non-coding RNA (ZMAR_LNC005029)". Lineage: Eukaryota; Viridiplantae; Streptophyta; Magnoliopsida; Alismatales; Zosteraceae. The record is from RNAcentral.
AGAAAUAUUCAUCUCUACUAGCUUAUCCGUUUCGACAACUCUUAAUGGCGAGAAUGCAAUACACCGACCAACAAUUAUCACCAUUGUUACCAUUUGUGUAUAUCAAAGUGCUCAAGCCAAUCAACGAAUGUAGAGUAAAGUUUUACGUGACGAAGACACAAAGUAAAUGAAGGGUAAUAAAAUAUUUGAUGUAACAGGAUGGAAGAUGCUAGAAUCGUACGUUGAAGAUUCUUCUUUAUAACGUACGUUCAUUUUUGUUCGUCGAUUUUGGAACGAAAACUUACUGGUAAUCAAUGUUAUGUUUUCUUCCUAGUUCAGAUCUCUGUUUUUCAUCUAGAUGGGCACACUCCUUGAAUAACCUGCACAGAAUUAAUGAUCAUCUAUAGCCCAAUGCGAAAGGCGGAAGAUUUUCGGACAAAGGUUCCUGGUAUCAACUACACAGCUGAUAGAGAGUGAACAAGAGAAAUGUAUGGAUAUAUAUAUAUAUGGUAUUUUGGUAUAUAUAUGUAAAAUUGUUAAGACAUAUUGUUAAAAAUAAGUUAAUAAAAUUUCAUUUCUAAUAAAAAUUUACAGGUCAUGUCAUUUCUCGA